RNAcentral lists this ribosomal RNA (315 nucleotides) under uncultured eukaryote. RNAcentral describes it as "partial 18S ribosomal RNA". It matches the Rfam family "Eukaryotic small subunit ribosomal RNA", at positions 1470 to 1796 of the family's 1831-position model. The record is from RNAcentral.
CCCUUAGACGUUCUGGGCCGCACGCGCGCUACACUGACCAGUGCAACAAGCAUCCGUCCUUGGCCGACAGGCUCGGGCAAUCUUUGAACGCUGGUCGUGAUGGGGAUAGACUUUUGCAAUUUUUGGUCUUCAACGAGGAAUUCCUAGUAAACGCAAGUCAUCAACUUGCAAUGAUUACGUCCCUGCCCUUUGUACACACCGCCCGUCGCACCUACCGAUUGAAUGGUCCGGUGAAGCCUCCGGAUUGGCGCGCACCUCGGUGCCGCCGAGAAGUUGGCUAAACCUUACCAUUUAGAGGAAGGUGAAGUCGUAACA